This 938-nucleotide long non-coding RNA is filed under the name Homo sapiens (human). RNAcentral's name for it is "non-protein coding lnc-GRM1-1:28". The record is from RNAcentral. Lineage: Eukaryota; Metazoa; Chordata; Mammalia; Primates; Hominidae.
GACCCCGCAGCGUCGUGGCUAGAGUAGGGUCUGGAGAGAGCUCCCACUGUGGCGAGUCCUGUCGUUGGAUUCCCGCGGCGCCCCGUAAGGCUCCGCCCCGGCGGUGCUACCAAACCCUGUUCGAUUUUAGAAUCGUACAUUCCCAGAGGGAAUCCUAGACCCCUCAUUUUACAGUUGAGGAAACAGGCCCAAGUAGCAUGACUUGUUCGCGCCGCUAGUCGAAGGAGCAGCAGCCCCGAUCCCUUGACUCUGGGGCACUGCUUUCCCUUUAGCUCAUUUUUGGAGGAAAUGGGUGCGCCCUUGCUCGACCUUUGGUGAUUGCCGCCACAGGCCUUCCCGCCGGCUAACUCAGCGUGCCCAAGUCCCGUGACUUAGUGCCAGGACGGUGCUGUGACCCGUUAUCCCCUGUCGGGUUUUACCUCCCCCCGGGAGAGCUCAGCCCUGGAUCCCGGCGGGCGGCGGAGCCUCUCUGGAGCCCGGACGGGACAGCCCACCAGGGUCUGCUUCUGUGAGGGGCCGAGGCGUCAUUCCGCGAAGCCUUCUCCUUGCUGUUGCCAUGUGAAGAAGGAUGUGUUUGCUUCCCCUUCUGCCAUGAUUGUAAGUUUUCUGAAGCCUCUCCAGCCAUGCCAAACUGAAGCUGCUGGAAGGUACACAUCUUGGGAGUUUGCCCUUUGAAGCUCACCUGUGGACCUUUUUUCCUUUCGAAAAGAAGCAUAAGCUGCAAUAAAAAUUUGGUUUCAAGAUAACAAAGUCAGUCCCCAAAAAUCAGUAUUGAGAGUCACUGACAUUAAAUGAUGAAGAUACGAGGAUGGUGUGGGGACCUUUACUCUUCGAAGAUGAGCUAUACAUGCCCCUGAAAAGGCUGUCUGAAGACAGGGGAAGGCUGGAGAUGGCAACUUUGGCCUCUGCCAAGUACUCGUGCUAUUUUCUGUAUGUGA